CUGAGAUUUUGCUCUUGGAUUUCUAUUGGGACGUUCAUACAGAGUGUAUAGCAAUCCACUACAGUUACUUUUCAUAUAUUUCAGAGCCUUCAUGAGACUUAGGGGGAUCAAUGUGUCCAGAUGGGGAUGCGACACAGUCCCACACCCUUGUCAGACUGACAGUACCUCCUGCGGGCCCUUUGUAUUGAAAUUUGCUGAAUGUAUCCUUAAAGAUGAAACGUGCAAAUUUAAUACAUCAAGAAAAGGUGUAGAGGAAAUGCGAAGGGCAAUCGCAACUGCUCUCCUUGAGAAUACUGAUGACCUGACUGAGGUGUGCCACCAAUGUGGACAGACAGACAAUACAGAAGCACACGAGGACGUACAAUGGAUUUCCUGUGAACGGUGCCAACGCUGGUAUCAUCAGAGCUGUGCAAAA
This is a long non-coding RNA of Gadus macrocephalus (Pacific cod), 415 nucleotides long. RefSeq lists it as uncharacterized. The transcript has 4 exons. The record is from RefSeq and is a predicted model, not a curated record. NCBI's taxonomy places the organism in Eukaryota, Metazoa, Chordata, Actinopteri, Gadiformes, Gadidae.